This is a long non-coding RNA of Schistocerca serialis cubense, 418 nucleotides long. RefSeq lists it as uncharacterized. NCBI's taxonomy places the organism in Eukaryota, Metazoa, Arthropoda, Insecta, Orthoptera, Acrididae. The record is from RefSeq and is a predicted model, not a curated record. The transcript is spliced from 2 exons.
GCCGUCACUACAGGACAAGACGGUGACGCCGGAAGAGCGCGUCAAGAUACGGCAGUCCAAGGCGGAGGCGGCACAUUUCGGCCGCGCCACAGAGCGGGCCAAGCUAGCUUCGCGCUGGAGGCACGCCAAGGAGGAGAAGGCGGCUCGGGAGGCGGCGGCAAAGGCCAGGGCCAAGGGCUACCUGGGCAGGGCCAGCUCCUUCGCAGCUGCGCGCCAGGCAACACAGAAGGCGCUCAGCACGGUGGCCAGCGAACGCCGAUAGUGACGUCAUCAGCUGUAGGCUCACGACAAAUUCCCGAACAACAGCAAAUACAAGCCAGUCGUCUUUCGUUUUGUGACCAAGAAAUACGCUACCCUCCAUGUGUUUGAAGCAUUAGUAAUCUAUAAAUUUCGAAAUGAUUAAAAUUAUGCUGUAUUA